AUGAACGCUGGCGGCGUGCCUAAUACAUGCCAGUCGAACGAAACUUCUUUAUCACCGAGUGCUUGCACUCACCGAUAAAGAGUUGAGUGGCGAACGGGUGAGUAACACGUGGGCAACCUGCCCAAAAGAGGGGGAUAACACUUGGAAACAGGUGCUAAUACCGCAUAACCAUAGUUACCGCAUGGUAACUAUGUAAAAGGUGGCUAUACUACCGCUUUUGGAUGGGCCCGCGGCGCAUUAGCUAGUUGGUAGGGUAAAGGCUUACCAAGGCAAUGAUGCGUAGCCGAAUUGAGAGGUUGAUCGGCCACAUUGGGACUGAGACACGGCCCAAACUCCUACGGGAGGCAGCAGUAGGGAAUCUUCCACAAUGGGCGAAAGCCUGAUGGAGCAACGCCGCGUGGGUGAAGAAGGUCUUCGGAUCGUAAAACCCUGUUGUUGGAGAAGAAAGUGCGUGAGAGUAACUGUUCACGUUUCGACGGUAUCUAACCAGAAAGCCACGGCUAACUACGUG
Molecule: ribosomal RNA, 511 nt
Filed under: uncultured bacterium
Lineage: Bacteria
Description: partial 16S ribosomal RNA
Rfam family: Bacterial small subunit ribosomal RNA
Source: RNAcentral